This 106-nucleotide ribosomal RNA is filed under the name Patescibacteria group bacterium. The record is from RNAcentral.
GUUGGUGGCUUAACGCCGGGGUCACACCCGUUCUCAUUCCGAACACGGAAGUUAAGCCCGGUAGUGGCGAUGAUACUCGCAAGGGGAAAGUAGCUAGCCGCCAGCA